Molecule: ribosomal RNA, 534 nt
Filed under: Priestia aryabhattai
Lineage: Bacteria; Bacillati; Bacillota; Bacilli; Caryophanales; Bacillaceae
Description: bacterial SSU rRNA
Rfam family: Bacterial small subunit ribosomal RNA
Source: RNAcentral
AGUCUGACGGAGCAACGCCGCGUGAGUGAUGAAGGCUUUCGGGUCGUAAAACUCUGUUGUUAGGGAAGAACAAGUACGAGAGUAACUGCUCGUACCUUGACGGUACCUAACCAGAAAGCCACGGCUAACUACGUGCCAGCAGCCGCGGUAAUACGUAGGUGGCAAGCGUUAUCCGGAAUUAUUGGGCGUAAAGCGCGCGCAGGCGGUUUCUUAAGUCUGAUGUGAAAGCCCACGGCUCAACCGUGGAGGGUCAUUGGAAACUGGGGAACUUGAGUGCAGAAGAGAAAAGCGGAAUUCCACGUGUAGCGGUGAAAUGCGUAGAGAUGUGGAGGAACACCAGUGGCGAAGGCGGCUUUUUGGUCUGUAACUGACGCUGAGGCGCGAAAGCGUGGGGAGCAAACAGGAUUAGAUACCCUGGUAGUCCACGCCGUAAACGAUGAGUGCUAAGUGUUAGAGGGUUUCCGCCCUUUAGUGCUGCAGCUAACGCAUUAAGCACUCCGCCUGGGGAGUACGGUCGCAAGACUGAAACUCAAA